GUUUUCAUUUCAUUAGCACAUAUACUAAAAGUGGAACAAUACAGAAAUGAUUACCUUGACCCCUUCCAAAUAAUGACACAAAUUUAUGAAAGGAUCCAUAUUUUA
Small nuclear RNA from Rattus norvegicus (Norway rat), 105 nucleotides. The record is from Ensembl. Lineage: Eukaryota; Metazoa; Chordata; Mammalia; Rodentia; Muridae.